This 464-nucleotide ribosomal RNA is filed under the name Vreelandella stevensii. RNAcentral describes it as "partial 16S ribosomal RNA". It matches the Rfam family "Bacterial small subunit ribosomal RNA", at positions 338 to 795 of the family's 1533-position model. Lineage: Bacteria; Pseudomonadati; Pseudomonadota; Gammaproteobacteria; Oceanospirillales; Halomonadaceae. The record is from RNAcentral.
CCUACGGGGGGCUGCAGUGGGGAAUAUUGGACAAUGGGCGAAAGCCUGAUCCAGCCAUGCCGCGUGUGUGAAGAAGGCCUUCGGGUUGUAAAGCACUUUCAGUGGGGAAGAAAGCCUUGGGGCUAAUACCCUCGAGGAAGGACAUCACCCACAGAAGAAGCACCGGCUAACUCCGGCCAGCAGCCGCGGUAAUACGGAGGGUGCGAGCGUUAAUCGGAAUUACUGGGCGUAAAGCGCGCGUAGGCGGUCUGAUAAGCCGGUUGUGAAAGCCCCGGGCUCAACCUGGGAACGGCAUCCGGAACUGUCAGGCUAGAGUGCAGGAGAGGAAGGUAGAAUUCCCGGUGUAGCGGUGAAAUGCGUAGAGAUCGGGAGGAAUACCAGUGGCGAAGGCGGCCUUCUGGACUGACACUGACGCUGAGGUGCGAAAGCGUGGGUAGCAAACAGGAUUAGAUACCCGGGUAGUC